Molecule: long non-coding RNA, 412 nt
Organism: Sinocyclocheilus rhinocerous
Lineage: Eukaryota; Metazoa; Chordata; Actinopteri; Cypriniformes; Cyprinidae
Exons: 4
Source: RefSeq, a predicted model, not a curated record
GUGUUACAGCGACUGUGACUGGCGCGCACAGGUUGUCAGGCGCUGGAAGUUUUGCUUCAUGUUUUCUGAGGUUGUCUUCUGUAUUAGAUCCUGAGUUUGAAGAAAUAAAGAUUCAUGGGUUUGAAGCGAUAUGAGGUUUCCUGCUUGGGUGCUGUACUUACACAACAGCAGUGAUAUCAGUGAGCAAACUACUGACAAACUGAUACAGCAGUGCAUGUCAUAAUGGUGCAGACCAAAUAUUCUGCUUGUCUCAGUGUCAGAUAUGAAAAGACACUCAGAGAUCAAACAAUCCUGCAAGAGUCAAAGCUAUGGAGGCACAAAUAAAACGGUAAGCAAGCUAAAAUGGCAAGAAAAAGCACUUUUCGUGACUUUAUAUGAGAUAUUGACAUCUUCAAAGUUGCUAUGAAAGAAA